CGGUCACGAGGACACAUGGAUGGUGACGUCACUCGAUCUGCCCGGGGAACAAUCAGAGGCAGCGCGAGCGCUACUUGAAUGGAUUGUUGUCGGUGAAUAACUUUGCUGCUGGGUUCUCCCCUUUUGCCCACCGCUCGCAUUUUCUGCCUUUUAUCUUCUAAUAUCUGCGAGUCAAAAUUGAACUAAAUGGUAUAUGAAGCACUUAACACCACUCGGAAAAGUGUGUUAGCGACAAACCCCUGAGGUCUGUGUGUGCGGCUUAACUUUUGCAAAGUGGGUGUCCUGGGAUCUGUUGGAAUCUGAAUGGACUAAUAUGAAGAGCCUGAAGGCAAAGUUUAGAAAAAGUGAUAUCAGCUUUCAAUUGACCAAUCAAAUGUUUACAGCUCUCAGGACCAAUCAGAUAAAGCCCCAGACGACCAAUCAGUGUGAAUCUGGCGGUAAAGCGGAUGAGAAUGGGCACAGCAGGUAUCUGCACUAAGAAGAUGGUUUCUGUAUUAGGACAGACCCAGCUGCCCGGCUCCUAGAGAUUAGCAAAUCUAGCCCCAACACCCCCUCCCUUUAACCACAGGCUUUUCCGUUCACGUCCCUUCUGGUCUACAUAUUACAUCCUCCGGCCUAAUACAGCUAUCCCAGACUCUAGUUUUCAUUUGCCUUGUUUUCCCUGCAUGUAAUUGUGGCUUGAUAUAUUGCAGCCCUGAUAGUAUAAGAUGGCUCGUUUGUAUCUCCUUCGUGACUUAAGACAUUCUGUGAGCUUUCAAAUUGGUUUAGUAAUGACUCAUCUCAGUAACAGUUGUCAGUGGUGAAGUAAUGACAGGCUUUCCAGGUUGAGAAAUUAGCCGUCAGGAUGAAUCAAACACGUCUGGCUCUGGACUACUAACUGUUAAUAUUAUUGCUUCAGGAAGCUCAUCCCAGAUAAUUCUUUGAGUGUGUGUUGAUUGCACACUCUCUUUCCUUUUUUAUUUUUUUUGGACAUUAUCUUAAUGUAGAAGACUGUGGGUGUUACCUGGUGGAAAUAGUAGGGCUGUUAAUUUAAUGAGAUUUAUUAUCAAUCACAUUAAUUAUAAAAAUGCAAUUAAAAUGUUUAUGCAAUUAAACAGGAUGAUUAAACAAAUUCUGUAAAGAAGAGUCUUCCUAGAGGUACCUUCUUCAUGUUUGUGCCAGGCCAGAUUCUAGGGGCAUUACUAGGAUGGUUGCUUUAGUAGGGAAUUAAUGUCAAAGAGAUAAAAGGACAUAAAAUUCAAUUGAAAUUAUGGUUAAAAAUGUUACUAUUGUAAAUGUACAAAUGCUACCUUAACCACAAAGGAGAAAAUCCAAGGGUGGACAGGACCCCCCCAUCUGAGGUUGUCCCCCCUCAAAAUAUGAUUAAAAACACACUGUAUUGUAAAUAACAGUGUUUUAUACUUUUAAUAAUUGUGUAGGUAGUAAAACAA
Cyprinus carpio (common carp) is the source of this 1430-nucleotide long non-coding RNA. RefSeq lists it as uncharacterized. The record is from RefSeq and is a predicted model, not a curated record. The transcript has 3 exons. Lineage: Eukaryota; Metazoa; Chordata; Actinopteri; Cypriniformes; Cyprinidae.